UAGGGCGCGAGCGUUGUUCGGAAUCAUUGGGCGUAAAGGGCAUGUAGGCGGCCCGCCAGGUCGCGCGUGAAAUCCCGGGGCCCAACCCCGGGGCUGCGCGGGAAACCGGCGGGCUUGAGUCGGCGAGGCGGGGCCGGAAUUCCUGGUGUAGGGGUGAAAUCUGUAGAUAUCAGGAGGAACACCGGCGGCGAAGGCAGGCCGCGAGCGCAUGACUGACGCUGAGGUGCGAAGGCGCGGGGAGCGAA
RNAcentral lists this ribosomal RNA (245 nucleotides) under uncultured bacterium. RNAcentral describes it as "partial 16S ribosomal RNA". It matches the Rfam family "Bacterial small subunit ribosomal RNA", at positions 528 to 772 of the family's 1533-position model. The record is from RNAcentral.